GACGAACGCUGGCGGCGGGCUUAACACAUGCAAGUCGAACGGAAAGGCCCUGCUUUUGUGGGGUGCUCGAGUGGCGAACGGGUGAGUAACACGUGAGUAACCUGCCCUUGACUUUGGGAUAACUUCAGGAAACUGGGGCUAAUACCGGAUAGGAGCUCCUGCUGAAUGGUGGGGGUUGGAAAGUUUCGGCGGUUGGGGAUGGACUCGCGGCUUAUCAGCUUGUUGGUGGGGUAGUGGCUUACCAAGGCGUUGACGGGUAGCCGGCCUGAGAGGGUGACCGGCCACAUUGGGACUGAGAUACGGCCCAGACUCCUACGGGAGGCAGCAGUGGGGAAUAUUGCACAAUGGGCGGAAGCCUGAUGCAGCAACGCCGCGUGCGGGAUGACGGCCUUCGGGUUGUAAACCGCUUUCGCCUGUGACGAAGCGUGAGUGACGGUAAUGGGUAAAGAAGCACCGGCUAACUACGUG
RNAcentral lists this ribosomal RNA (468 nucleotides) under uncultured bacterium. RNAcentral's name for it is "partial 16S ribosomal RNA". It matches the Rfam family "Bacterial small subunit ribosomal RNA", at positions 28 to 507 of the family's 1533-position model. The record is from RNAcentral.